UUGUUUGAGCACCGCAAACAUUCAUGCACACGCAUGACUUUUGCAUUAUUAUGAUUCUUUAGUCUGGUCAGGUCGGGAGAAGGCAUCUUCUGUGCAUUCGUCGACAUUUUCGGAACGGGUUCCCGCAGCAGUUUUUUUUUUUCCCGCAGCAGUACGAAUUAGAAACUCUCCUCGAGAUCGAUCAACGGCCGUUGCGGAACAUUCGGCCUCACCUGACAGGACCACAAUCCUCUGCCUCGGUACAUUUGCGUCGGGGGCUGCGCUGCGAUGGUGCCCAAAAGCAAAACAUCGGAAAACCAUCCCCACGGUCAACAUUUCCGGCAGGCUCACUAGAGAGCGCGAGGAUGAUUAGCAAAUAACGUCAUGAUACUGGUUAUCCUGGCCGUGCAUUCGGUGCACGGAACUCCGUACGGUUGUCGCACUUCGGCGUUGAAUCUGCAAGUUCCUAUACACUUGGCAAACCUCGAUUCAUUGCAUUAUGCCUUACUUCCGUGACUUAUUCCGGGUGCUUCGUGCCAAUGCAACAAUAAUCAACAUUUCGAAAAUAUA
Long non-coding RNA from Culex quinquefasciatus (southern house mosquito), 549 nucleotides. RefSeq lists it as uncharacterized. The transcript is spliced from 2 exons. NCBI's taxonomy places the organism in Eukaryota, Metazoa, Arthropoda, Insecta, Diptera, Culicidae. The record is from RefSeq and is a predicted model, not a curated record.